RNAcentral lists this ribosomal RNA (448 nucleotides) under uncultured bacterium. RNAcentral describes it as "bacterial SSU rRNA". It matches the Rfam family "Bacterial small subunit ribosomal RNA", at positions 330 to 792 of the family's 1533-position model. The record is from RNAcentral.
ACCAGACUCCUACGGGAGGCAGCAGUGGGGAAUAUUGGGCAAUGGGCGCAAGCCUGACCCAGCAACGCCGCGUGAAGGAAGAAGGCUUUCGGGUUGUAAACUUCUUUUCUCAGGGACGAAGCAAGUGACGGUACCUGAGGAAUAAGCCACGGCUAACUACGUGCCAGCAGCCGCGGUAAUACGUAGGUGGCAAGCGUUGUCCGGAUUUACUGGGUGUAAAGGGCGUGUAGCCGGGCUGACAAGUCAGAUGUGAAAUCCGGGGGCUCAACCCCCGAACUGCAUUUGAAACUGUUGGUCUUGAGUAUCGGAGAGGCAGGCGGAAUUCCUAGUGUAGCGGUGAAAUGCGUAGAUAUUAGGAGGAACACCGGUGGCGAAGGCGGCCUGCUGGACUGCAACUGACGUUGAGGCCCGAAAGCGUGGGGAGCAAACAGGAUUAGAUACCCGAGUA